This is a long non-coding RNA of Cyprinus carpio carpio, 1384 nucleotides long. The record is from Ensembl. Lineage: Eukaryota; Metazoa; Chordata; Actinopteri; Cypriniformes; Cyprinidae.
GUCCUUAUUUGGUCAUGUUCCUGUCCUCAUUUAGUCUGAUUGUCUUAUGUGGUCCACCUGUGUUUCUUCAAUUAUCCCUAGCAUUUAAGUUCCUGUCUCUGUGUUUUUCCCCUGUCGGGUCUACUUCGUAGUUACAUAUGUCUGCAUCUCAUUCCUGGUUCCUGUAUUGGAAUACUCCUGUGUUUUGAUAAUUAAAAGACUGUUGAUUGUACUCCACAUUUCUCUCUUCAUUCUGACUUUGUAUGUAUGUGCAGGGAAGAAGAUGGAGUGAUAUAUCUCAGGCUAACCUGACCAUCUGUGACACCAUGAAAUGCCAGAGCUAAAUUGUCUUCACUGGAGGGGAGUGUGACGUGUGUGUGUGUGGAGCAACUGCAAUCAAAUCCCUGGAUGUAUCUGACACAAACAGCUUCCAGAGGAAACAAAGAAGAUGGUGCAUAUCUGCUGAGGGAUGAAGAUUUUAUUGGCCAAGACAAUACUGAUUACUUUAUCAUUUUCCAAACAACUUGUAAAGCAUAUUGUCUAUAAACAAACAACGUAAUUAAUAAUUAACCUUCCCCGACCGAAUUCACCCAUUAAAGUGAACUGAGCCCUUGAGAAGAGGCAAAGCCAUUUUCCACGCUUGUUGAAAAUCAGCGUUAAAUCACUUCAGAAAUCAAUGGGCAUUCCAAUUGCUCACCCACAACGCACAUAAAUGGCGGCGAUAUAUAUUACGCAGAAAAACCCAUCACCGGGACUAAUGAACAUAAAUACUGGCCACGCGAAUAAUGAAGUGUGGCUGUAUAAAUCUCAGCCUCACAUGAAAGACUGCCAAGAGAAUAGACAAAUAUUGUCCAUGCUGAAAAGGCCAGAGGAACAGAUGUAUUCAGCUGCUGAGCGAUCGGUUGUUUGUGCGAACUGGUUUGUGAUUUACCAAGACUCUGAAGAGUCAUUGGUCUCUCAUGAACUCAUUGGCGAGGUACAUUUAAUUAAGGUGAAACUGUCAGGGAGGGACUACAUUUCUCACAGCCUUAAAUGCAAAAGCAAUGAGGUGAUCACCGUUUUUUGAUGGCCAGCGUGAAACAUUCAACUCCAGUAACUUCAUGAAGAUCAAUGGAGAAGGAAACCAGCUCCGGAAUCUGAAUGAUUAUCUAAAUACUCAUUUGUGAUAAUAUAUAUUUUUUUUCUCCAUACUAUGGAAGUCAAUGGGGACCAGCAUGUAUGGGGGUAGAAUUGUUGCAAUAUUCCAAAUAAAUAUAUUAUGAGGCGCAAAUAAAUGUAAAGAGAUUUACGAAAAAUUAAACAUAUUGACAAAUAAAUAGAAUGAGAUCCACAAAUUAGUUUCACAAACAUUCAUUCAGCGUCUUGACGCUAGAAAUGUUUCAAAAUCCACAAAUGCACAGCGAGA